GUGGGGGAAAUGACAGCAGGGAAACCUAUCGGAUAGUUUGUUCAUAAUCCUCCUCUCUCAACAGCACUUACUCCCCAUGUUUUCGAUCUGUCAUCCUGCAG
Molecule: microRNA precursor, 101 nt
Filed under: Chlorocebus sabaeus (green monkey)
Lineage: Eukaryota; Metazoa; Chordata; Mammalia; Primates; Cercopithecidae
Description: miRNA (ENSCSAG00000025252.1)
Source: RNAcentral